CCUACGGGUGGCAGCAGUCGAGAAUCAUUCACAAUGGGGGAAACCCUGAUGGUGCGACGCCGCGUGGGGGAAUGAAGGUCUUCGGAUUGUAAACCCCUGUCAUGUGGGAGCAAAUUAAAAAGAUAGUACCACAAGAGGAAGAGACGGCUAACUCUGUGCCAGCAGCCGCGGUAAUACAGAGGUCUCAAGCGUUGUUCGGAACCACUGGGCGUAAAGCGUGCGUAGGCUGUUUCGUAAGUCGUGUGUGAAAGGCGCGGGCUCAACCCGCGGACGGCACAUGAUACUGCGAGACUAGAGUAAGGGAGAGGGAGGCGGAAUUCUCGGUGUAGCAGUGAAAUGCGUAGAUAUCGAGAGGAACACUCGUGGCGAAGGCGGGUUCCUGGACAUUAACUGACGCUGAGGCACGAAGGCCAGGGGAGCGAAAGGGAUUAGAUACCCCGGUAGUC
This 446-nucleotide ribosomal RNA is filed under the name uncultured bacterium. RNAcentral describes it as "partial 16S ribosomal RNA". It matches the Rfam family "Bacterial small subunit ribosomal RNA", at positions 338 to 795 of the family's 1533-position model. The record is from RNAcentral.